CCUCAGGUGAUCUGACUGCCUUGGCUUCCCAAAGUGCUGGCAUUACAGACAUUAGCUACUGUGCCUGGCCUCAAGUCCUUUCUCAUUUUAAAACUGCGUUAUUUUAUUUUAUUUUUCUGAGAUGGAAUCUCACUCUGUCGCCCAGGUUGGAGUGCAGUGGUGCAAUCUCGGCUCACUGCAACCUCCACCUCCUGAGUUCAAGCGACUCUCCUGCCUCGGCCUCCCUAGUAACUGGGAUUACAGGCACCCACCAUCACGCCUGGCUAAUUUUUGUAUUUUUAGUAGAGACAGGGUUUCGCCAUGUUGGCCAGGCUGGUCUUGAACUCCUGAACUCAGGUGAUCUGCCUGCCUCGGCCUCCCAAAAUGCUAGGAUUACAGGCGUGAGCCACCACACCCGGUGGGUUGUCUUUUUAUUGUUGAGUUGUAAGCAUUCUUUUUAAUAUUCUGGAUACUAGUUUCUUAUCAGGUACAAUCUUUGUGAAUAUAUUCUCCCAUUCCAUGGAUUGUCUUCUCACUUUCUGGAUACUAUACAGUACAAGUUUUAAAUUUUGAUGAAGUUCACUUGAUUUCUGUUUUUUAUGUUAUUGCUUAUGCUUUUGGUGUCAUACCUAAAAAACCAUUGUCUAAAUCAAUUGCCUAUGAGGUGUUACCCCUAUGUUUUCUUCUAAAGUUUUAUGAUUUUAGCUCUUUGACCCAUUUUGAGUUAUUUUUGUGUAUGCAGUGCGAGAUAAGCAUCCAGCCUCAUUCUUUUGCACAUAAAUGUUCACUUGUCUUAGCAUUACUUAUUGAAAAUACUAUUUUUUCCCUAUAGAAUUAUUUUAUACUUAUCACAAAUCAACUAACUAUAAGGGUUUAUUUCUGGACUCAAUUCUGUUGCUCUAUCUUAUGGUAGUACCACACUGUCUUGAUUAUUGUAACUUCGUAGUAAGUUUUGGAAUCCAGAAAUGUAGUCCUCUAACUUUGUUGUUGUUGUUGUUCUUCUUUUUUCUUUUGUAGAGAUGAGGCCUUGCUAUGUUGCCCAGGCUGGUCUCAAACUCCUGGCCUCAAACAAUCCUCCCACCUCCACCUCCCAAAGUGCUGAGGGGUGAGCCACUGCAACUGGCCUGUUCUUUUUCAAAAUUGUUAGGGCUGUAUUGGGUUUACCUUUCCCUAAAUUUUCAUAUAACUGUUAGGAUUCACUUGCAAAUUUAUGUAAAAAGGGCCUCUGGAAUUUUGAUAGUGAUUACACUGAAUGAGAGGAGUUUGGCAGGACUGGUUUCCCAAGACCACAAGACCCUGUAAGACCCUGCUGAUAAGACAGGAUGUGGUAGAAAGGCCAACCCAAACCAGCCAAAACCAUGAUGGUGACAGAAGAGACCUCUGGUUACCUUUGCUGCCCAUUCUAUGGUAAUUAUAAUACAUUAGCACGCUAAAAGAAACUUCUACAGCACCAUGAUAGUUUACAACUGCCAUAGCAACUUUCAGAAGUUACCCUGUAUGGUCUAAAAGGUCCAGACCUCCCCACUUCUUUCCUGGAAAACUCAUGAAUAAGCCACCUCUUGUUUAGCGUAUAGUCAAGAAGCAACCAUAAAUAUAGCCAGUCAGCAGCCCAUCAGGGCUACUCUUCCUAUGGGGUAGCCAUUCUUUUAUUCCUUUACUUUCUUAAUGAACUUGCUUUCACUUUAUUCUGUCAGCAUGCUCUUGAAUUCUUUCCUGAACCCACUUGACCUCUUGGGCUGAGCCUUAACCUUGGGGUACUUUUGCCUAUAACAAACAUACAAAGAUAAGUUUGGCUGGGCGCAGUGGCUCAUGCCUGUAAUCCCAGGACUUUGGGAGGCUGAGGAUGGUGGAUCGCUUGAGCCAAGGAAUUUGAGGCCACCUUGGGCAACACGGCAAAACCCUGUCUCUACUAAAAAUACAAAAAUUAGCUGGGUAUGGUAGCAUGCGCCUGUAGUACCAGCUACUCGGAAGGCUGAGGUGGGAGGAUCACUUGAGCCCGGGAGGUGGAGGUUUCAGUGAGCUGAGAUUGUGCCACUGUACUCCAGCCUGGGGAACAGAGUGAGACCCUGUCUCAAAAUAAAAAUAAAUUUGAGGUGUAUUGCCAUCUUAACGGAAGUUGUUACUGGUGGACGGUAUCCAAGUUACUGGUGGUAAAUCUGCAGCAACCUCAAUUCUUUCCUCCUCAGAAGAAAGAAUUUGACUGAGGGGCAUAAGGCAGAAGGAGGGACCGAGGCAAGUUUCAGAGCAACAGUGAAAGUUUAUUACGCUUUAGGCUGGGCAUGAGCCACCACACCCAGCCUACAUUACUCAAUUUAACCACGUCCACCUAGUUCCCUAGACAAACUAUUGCUAAUUUAACUUUUAGGAACUACUGCCAUCUUGCGGAACUUUGAGGUUUUGCCACCCCAGAAUUUCCUAGCUGCUCUGUUCUUCUAUUAUGUGGCAUAGCAAACACAAAAUGGGUCACUUUUUUUCUUUGGAGAUGGGAUCUUUCUAUGUUGCCCAGGCUGGUCUCCAACUCCUAGGCUCAAGUGAUCUUCCUACCUCAGCCUCCUCAAUAGCUGGUACUAUAGGAGACAGCACCACACUGCCCGGGCCUGGUUGCAUUUUACUUGUCUAGCUAUCGUCUCUUUCCUGUUGACUAUCUGGAAAUCUCUGAUGGGGUCUUUAACAGAAAAAGUCUACUCCUUCAGACCUUAGUUUCAUGCCAUAUACCACAUAUGACAGGUCUGGGAAGGUCUGGAAUGUGUGGAUAAAGGCGAUGGCAGUGGCUGCUGCCAUCAUGCUGGCUGCAGCAGGGAGGCAUGGCUCUGGGUGCACACUCCACGGAGCUGGUGGGUGCCCCCCACCUUCUGAGUUGGAGCGGGAGCUCCUCGGGUGCUGCUGCAGCUGCCCAAACCCAGCCACCCAGACUGCGGCUGUGGAUCUGAGCCCCCCUGUGCUCUUGGAGGAGGGCUGGGAGCAGGCAGGAUCUGCCUUCCUGGGUGCAGAGACCAGCUUGGUCACGGACACCCUAACCCAGUGGUGCUAGAGGAAUUAGACACACAUACAGAAAUAUAGAGUGUGGAGUGGGAAAUCAGGGGGCUGACAGCCUUUAGAGCUGACAGCUCCGAACAGAGAGUUACCCACAUAUUUAUUGACAUCAAGCCAGUGAUAAGCAUUGUUUCUAUAGAUUAUAGAUUAAUUAAAAGUAUCCCUUAUGGGAAACAAAGGGAUGGGCCGAAACAAAGGGAUGGGUUCUGGCUAGUUAUCUGCAGCAGGAACAUAUCCUUAAGGCACAUAUCACUCAUGCUAUUGUUUGUGGUUUAGGAAUGCCUUUUUGCAGUUUUCCGCCCUGGGUGGGCCAGGUGUUCCUUGCCCUCAUUCCGGUAAAACAACAGCCUUCAGCGUGG
Molecule: long non-coding RNA, 3371 nt
Filed under: Homo sapiens (human)
Lineage: Eukaryota; Metazoa; Chordata; Mammalia; Primates; Hominidae
Description: non-protein coding lnc-CFLAR-1:6
Source: RNAcentral